UGGCUUUUGCAUCAUGGGUCAAUUAAAAGAAGCAAUUGCUUUGUUAAAAAAAAUGACAUUGGAAAACAUCAACCAGGAUGUGUAUACUUUUAAUAUAUUGCUUGAUGCUUUUUGUAAGGAAGGGAAGUUGAUAGAAGCUAAAAAUGUGUUUGCCGUGAUGUUGAAAAAAGACAUAAAACCAGAUAUUGUUACUUACAACUGUUUAAUGGAUGGAUAUUUCCUAAUUAAUGAAGUGAACAGCAUUACUCAAUCGCUAUUUCCCUUUCUAAACAAAUGGAACUAAGGGGAAUCAACCCUGACUUUGUAACUUGCAAUCUCUUAAUCAAUUGUUUAUGCCAAUUGGGUCAUAUCACUUUUGCUUUCUCUGUUUUCUCAAAGAUUCUCAAAAGGGGUUAUCAUCCUGGUACAAUAACUUUUACCACACUCAUCAAGGGUUUUUGUCUUAAAGGUGAGGUUCAUAAAGCAUUGCACUUUCAUGACAAGGUGGUAGCACAAGGAUUUCGGUUGAAUCAAGUUAGUUACGGGACUUUGAUCAAUGGGUUAUGUAAAGUUGGAAAAACAAGAGCAGCUCUAGAGUUGCUGAGACGAGUUGAUGGGAAAUUGGUUCAACCUAAUGUGGUAAUGUACAGCACGAUUAUUGAUAGUAUGUGCAAAGAUAAACUUGUUUCUGAUGCAUGUGAUUUAUAUUCUGAAAUGGUUGUCAAGAGAAUUUCUCCUAAUGUUGUCACUUACAGUGCACUAAUUAGUGGCUUUUGCAUCAUGGGUCAAUUGAAAGAAGCAAUUGAUUUGUUGUAUAAAAUGACAUUGGAAAACAUCAACCCAAAUGUGUAUACUUUUAAUAUAUUGGUUGAUGCUUUUUGUAAGGAAGGGAAGUUGAAAGAAGCUAAAAAUGUGUUUCUUGUGAUGAUAAAAAAUGACAUAAAGCCGAAUAUUGUUACUUACAACAUUUUAAUAGAUGGAUAUUGCCUCGUUAAUGAAGUGAACAGGGCUAAGAGUAUACUCAACAUUAUGGUCCAAAGGGGAGUGGCUCCU
This 1032-nucleotide long non-coding RNA is filed under the name Cicer arietinum (chickpea). RNAcentral's name for it is "long non-coding RNA (CARI_LNC003374)". Lineage: Eukaryota; Viridiplantae; Streptophyta; Magnoliopsida; Fabales; Fabaceae. The record is from RNAcentral.